UUCUUUUUUUAUUCUAUCAUUCUUUUUAUAAAUUUAUUUUUUUUUUAUUAAAUUUCUCUUUUGUGUUUUAUUUUUAUUUAAAUUUCACUUAAACGAAAUAUAAUUUUAUUUAAAUUAAUCUUUAUAUUAAAAUCCUCUUUUGUUUUAUAAUCUGUUUUAUUUAAUUUAAUGAUUUAUCUUGUUAAAUUAAUAAUUUUCUUGUUAUUAUGUUUUUAAUAAAUUAAUAUCUUUGCAGGAUUCCAAGCAACAACAAUUAUAAUAUACAUACAUAAUAUUUUAAUUUUUCGCGCGUUUUUGAAUGGAAAAAUAAGCAUCAUGGGCCAGCCAAUCAGAACAUCGCUUAAUUCUUGGCGCGAGACGAACCAGUGCGCAUCACACUGCGCAUCAUACUGCGCAUGGCGUUAGUCUACAGUUGAAAAUUGUGUGGAGUGGACGUGUCGUCGCGAAUUCGGAUUAUUAGGUUUAAUUGGUAGCGUCAUGAUGGUAGCUCUCGGGAAGGCGGGAAAAAUUCCAAUAUGGACGCCUUUUUUGAUGUGGUAAAAUUUUAUAUUUCGUAUGUAUAAAUUUUUAUUCUGUUUUAUAGGAUUAUUAGUGAUUGUUGUUAAGCAAUUCAUAAUAAAAUUACGUUUUGGUUAAAAGAAAGCGAAAAAAAUUAGAAAUUUAUGAAGCACUUUCAUGAUUUAUACAUAAUUCGUAAUUUAGCAAUAUUUUCAGAACAAAUGUACGAUAGAAAGAAGAAGAGUAAUAUCAAAAAGAUAUUGUUUCUUCUUUUAUCUCUUUCCCAUCCCACUAAUUUAAUGUUAAUUUCAGAAAAUAUUUGUGACCGCGCGCAAUGCGGUUAAUAGAAUCAGUGUUUGCUUCGUCAUAGUAUUUUUAAUAUUUUUUAGAGCACAAUAGCUCUGAUUAAAUUUAAUUAGAAUAAUCAAACGCGAAGAUAGAAUCAGUGUUUGUUCGCCGAUUAUAUUAUAAUUUAUACGGACGCGUUGUUAGUUUCUUAUUUUUAUUUUUUUCUUUUUAUAAAUAUUCGUUUUCGGUACAGAGUAGAGUCAGUGCUUCUCUCAAGAGAAUACGGCGAUCAUCCACCACGCGAAGAGAUGCUGAUGAAAGUUUUUCUUGGACUUUAGUCUUAAAAAAUAUUUGUGACCACGCGCAAUGUGGUUAAGUAGAAUCAGUGUUGCUUCGUCAUAGUAUUUUUAAUAUUUUUUAGAGCACAAUAGCUCUGAUUAAAUUUAAUUAGAAUAAUCAAACGCGAAGAUAGAAUCAGUGUUUGUUCGCCGAUUAUAUUAUAAUUUAUACGGACGCGUUAUUAGUUUCUUAUUUUUAUUUUUUUCUUUUUAUAAAUAUUCGUUUUCGGUACAGGGUAGAAUCAGUGCUUCUCUGAAGAGAAUAAGGCGAUCAUCCAUCACGCGAAGAGGUAAUUAUCUCUUUUUCUGUCUAAAUUUUUUAUUCUUUCAAACAGAAAUUAAUCAGAAUUUCAAUACAUAUCAUUAUUACAUAUUGCAAAUUUAAUAGUUUCAUAUUUCAAUUUCUUUGAAUAACGAGAACCGUGUUUUAAAUUGAUGAUAUUUUGUCACAGAUUUCUUCCAUCCUCCUACCUGAUGACAGGCUUCUUCUCGAUGACUUCUGGGGCUACAACACAGUGAAGGUGUUCGUCGCAUCAUAUGGUGAGUCGCAUGCUUUUUGGUUCCUCCGGUCAUUCAAUCAUGUCGUAGGAUGAAAGAUCCGUAUCGACACGGAUGACUGGUUGUAUACGUAGAAUUUUGCACGAGCACAAUGACCACGGAUAUUUGUUUAUAAUAUCCGUGAGUAGUAACAUUUCUUUUGUGUUUUAUUUAUUAGUUCAGGCUAGGAUCUUCUUGCGUUUCGCGUUUUUGAUUAAUAUAAAAUGUUUAAUAAUUUUCUAAUG
Molecule: long non-coding RNA, 1906 nt
Organism: Apis cerana (Asiatic honeybee)
Lineage: Eukaryota; Metazoa; Arthropoda; Insecta; Hymenoptera; Apidae
Source: RefSeq, a predicted model, not a curated record